GUUUGAAGAUGGGUACAAUGAUGAUCUUACAGCUCUUGAUGAGAAAGCUCUCCUGCAACAAUGCUAUACAAGCAAGCCCUACAAUACACAACACAGUAUGAGGAAAUCAGAAGCUGAGGAUGUUGCUGCGGAGAGAAAGAAACAGGCUGUAGUAGAACAAGUGAUGCUAGAUCAGUUAUGCAGCCUGUUAUUAAUAUUCUUCUAUUAAUAUCUCUCUGAAGUUGAAGGGUAAGUUUAUGUUGGAUAUCAGGAAAAAAUUCUUUACAGAAAGGGUUGUUGAGCACUGGAAUGGGCUCCCCAGGGA
RNAcentral lists this long non-coding RNA (304 nucleotides) under Chrysolophus pictus (golden pheasant). Its description in RNAcentral is "lncRNA (ENSCPIG00010001262.1)". Lineage: Eukaryota; Metazoa; Chordata; Aves; Galliformes; Phasianidae. The record is from RNAcentral.